AGGGUAGCUCAGGCGGUUAGAGCGUCGGACUCAUAACCCGAAGGUCGGCGGUUCAAGUCCGCCCC
RNAcentral lists this transfer RNA (65 nucleotides) under marine eukaryotic metagenome. It matches the Rfam family "tRNA", at positions 6 to 65 of the family's 71-position model. From Rfam's summary of the family: Transfer RNA (tRNA) molecules are approximately 80 nucleotides in length. The record is from RNAcentral.